UGGGAACGUGCCCUUCAGUUCGGAACAACCCAGGGAAACUUGGGCUAAUACCGGAUACGUCCGUAAGGAGAAAGAUUUAUCGCUGAAGGAUCGGCCCGCGUCUGAUUAGCUAGUUGGUGGGGUAACGGCCUACCAAGGCGACGACGGGUAGCUGGUCUGAGAGGACGACCAGCCACACUGGAACUGAGAUACGGUCCAGACUCCUACGGGAGGCAG
RNAcentral lists this ribosomal RNA (216 nucleotides) under uncultured bacterium. Its description in RNAcentral is "partial 16S ribosomal RNA". It matches the Rfam family "Bacterial small subunit ribosomal RNA", at positions 118 to 351 of the family's 1533-position model. The record is from RNAcentral.